GCUGUCUCCCUGUUCAUUUGUGCCGGCAAACUUUAUGUCAAUUUGCCUCAAGAUAGAAUCAUUUUAGAAGAGGACUCCUCAAUUGAGAAAAUGCCCCGACUUGAAUGGCCUGUGGACAACAGACCUGGCUGUCUACCCACCAUCUGAGCAGAGUUCUAACGGCUGCAGAUCCGUGUGGCUAAAAGACGGACAACUAUGGAAGAGCUGGGACUCCAGGGGACAGCCCAAGGAGCUGGGACUCCAGGGGACAGCCCAAGGCCUGAAUCCCUUUGAGCAACAGCCUGGAAGGGAUCAAAGCAAUCUUUCCAAGGGCUUCUGCUGCAGAGUAGAGCACGUUUGUGGGGACUCUGCACACAAACAUGAUCUAAGCUUGCUCUAAAUUGGCAGAAUGAUAAAUGCAUGGGCACGUUUCUUUUCUUUUUCUUUUCUUUCUUUUCUUUUUUCUUUUUCUUUUUUCCCAAUACAGAAUUUCUCUGUGUAGUUUUGGUGCCUGUCCUGGAUCUCACUCUAUAGACCAGGCUGACCUCAAACUCAGUUCCUCCUGCCUCUGCCUCCCAAGUGCUGGGAUCAAAGGCAUGCGCCAUCACUGCCCGGCAUGGGCAUGUUUCUUUAGAGAAGGCCAGAGUAAACUUGACAAGUGCUUAGA
Molecule: long non-coding RNA, 646 nt
Organism: Peromyscus californicus insignis
Lineage: Eukaryota; Metazoa; Chordata; Mammalia; Rodentia; Cricetidae
Exons: 2
Source: RefSeq, a predicted model, not a curated record